GAUGCCGCGAGGUCGUGUGGGGAAGAAGUCUUAGGCGAACCGCAGCACCGAACGCGAGUAAACCCUUGGACAGGCCGAUCCGGUCGGGUGAGCGUGCCUCAUAACGCGACGCCCAAAAUCCAACCGAGACCGGGGCGGUAAUGAGGGCGGCGGCGGCGGGACAUUCAGUGUU
Sphingobium sp. TCM1 is the source of this 172-nucleotide non-coding RNA. Lineage: Bacteria; Pseudomonadati; Pseudomonadota; Alphaproteobacteria; Sphingomonadales; Sphingobiaceae. The record is from Rfam.